This 253-nucleotide ribosomal RNA is filed under the name uncultured bacterium. RNAcentral describes it as "partial 16S ribosomal RNA". It matches the Rfam family "Bacterial small subunit ribosomal RNA", at positions 526 to 779 of the family's 1533-position model. The record is from RNAcentral.
CGGAGGGUGCAAGCGUUAUCCGGAUUUACUGGGUUUAAAGGGUGCGUAGGCGGAUAGGUAAGUCAGUGGUGAAAUCUCCGAGCUUAACUCGGAAACUGCCGUUGAUACUAUUUAUCUUGAAUACCGUGGAGGUGAGCGGAAUAUGUCAUGUAGCGGUGAAAUGCUUAGAUAUGACAUAGAACACCGAUUGCGAAGGCAGCUCACUACGCGGUCAUUGACGCUGAGGCACGAAAGCGUGGGAUCAAACAGGAUU